CCUACGGGUGGCAGCAGUGGGGAAUAUUGCACAAUGGGCGGAACCCUGAUGCAGCGACGCCGCGUGAGUGAAGGAGUAUUUCGGUAUGGAAAGCCCUAUCAGCCGGGAAGAACAAUGACGGUACCUGACUAAGAAGCACCGGCUAAAUACGUGCCAGCAGCCGCGGUAAUACGUAGGGUGCAAGCGUUAUCCGGAUUUACUGGGUGUAAAGGGAGCGCAGGCGGCGCGUUAAGCCUGUUGUGAAAGCCUGCGGCCCAACCGGGAGAUUGCAUUUGGAACUGGCGCGCUGGAGUGCCGUAGGGGUAGGCGGAAUUCGUAGUGUAGCGGUGAAAUGCGUAGAUAUUAGGAGGAACACCAGUGGCGAAGGCGGCCUACUGGACGGUGACUGACGCUGAGGCUCGAAAGCGUGGGGAUCAAACAGGAUUAGAUACCCGUGUAGUC
RNAcentral lists this ribosomal RNA (441 nucleotides) under uncultured bacterium. Its description in RNAcentral is "partial 16S ribosomal RNA". It matches the Rfam family "Bacterial small subunit ribosomal RNA", at positions 338 to 795 of the family's 1533-position model. The record is from RNAcentral.